This 1266-nucleotide long non-coding RNA is filed under the name Anser brachyrhynchus (Pink-footed goose). RNAcentral describes it as "lncRNA (ENSABRG00000022111.1)". The record is from RNAcentral. Lineage: Eukaryota; Metazoa; Chordata; Aves; Anseriformes; Anatidae.
ACUUAAAUCGGUUGAUGUUAUGAGGUGGACCUCCUCCUCAGAAGAAUAAGGCAGGAGGAUGAAGCAGCUGACAGAAGCAUCCCAAAAUCAAGAUCUGAGGGUAAUGGUGGCCCUUGCCCGAGAUACAUUCCACAUGACCAGUAUCCUAGGUCUUAUAAUGCCAAUGAAGAGUUGGGGAAAUGUUAGGUGACUUUAUACAUAUUUCAGCAGGCAGAAGCAGCAACUGUGGAACAGGUAUUCCAGAUCUGUUUCCAACUCACAGGAAAGUCUGCAAAUCUAAAACUUUGAAAUAAUUGGUGAAAGUAUCUAAAAACAGUACAGCUCUCUUUUUUUUAAGAAAAGAAGAGGAAAAAAGAGUGGCAGAACAAGAUAAUGGAUUUAAAUGCUUGUUUGCUUCAGAUUCCUAUGCAGAAGUUGUUGCUUAAGUGAAUGUUGAUAAUUAUAUUUGAAAUUUUAAUCCAUUGGACAUUUCUCCCUUUCCUAUACAGCUGUUUUUUGAAACUGGAAGGGGAAUCAGGUUUCCAGACACACACUUCCUCCCACUGUAGCUGUACUCGAGUCAGAAAAGGGAAAUUCUCACCUAUUUAAACUCUACCAGCACUUCAACAUUCACUCUAAGAGUGCGUGCUAACUGUUGUACGGUGGCCUUUAUGCCGGGUCACCACUCAUGUACACUGUUAGCAGACCCCAGUGCUAGUUUUUAAGUUGCCAAUGCCCUUUCCCCUAAGCCCAUCUCUGCUGCACUCUAUCCAGGCUCACUGCUCACCCUGACCUGGCGGUGACUUCUCCAACAACUCCCCUGCUGCCAUUCAUUUUCUGUCUCUUCUCCCUUUGGCAAGUUCAAGUGCUUUUUCUAUUCUUUCAAGCCCUUUUAGCUGCCUAUCCUCAGAGGUGUGGUGGGAUUCAUUGCAAGUCUCUGUGUCGACAGCUUCACAUGGCCUCAGAAGUUUAAGCUGCUAUGAGAAUCUGCUGACUAGUUCCUGUCCCAGUGUUCUCCUCCCUGAUAAAAACUGUCCAGUCUCCCAAGAAAUGAUCAUCUAUACCUGUCAUUCACUAACUCCUGCCAAUUCCAGGAAGAUAAAACUGCAAGAAAAUAAUAAACCUUCUAACUUGCUUUGCUUUGUCUUAGUGAUGCUCCUUUGCUUGUCUGUAUUGGGCAAGUCAAUUUGUGUCCUGUCUUGUUUCUACUGAGCAAGCAGAGAUAUUCUGUACUAAUUUACAUGUGACUUUUCAGAGGGUGGAAUUAACAUCUUCUACCUUUAUCUG